This is a long non-coding RNA of Entelurus aequoreus (snake pipefish), 469 nucleotides long. RefSeq lists it as uncharacterized. The record is from RefSeq and is a predicted model, not a curated record. NCBI's taxonomy places the organism in Eukaryota, Metazoa, Chordata, Actinopteri, Syngnathiformes, Syngnathidae. The transcript is spliced from 3 exons.
UACGAAACAGAAACAGUGCGGUGUCCAUGCAGCUGGGUUUUUAUCCACCUCGCGACCAGGGUGGAAACAUUGCUGUUCUUAGCAAAGAGUCGAUCACCAGCUGGUCCAGCUGCCAGGAAGAAGAACCAACAAAAACUGAAUGGCAAGUAGAGGGAAAGUCCACAAAGGAAGGAAUGGGAUGAUCCAAAAUGGACGAGCUGUGUGUUUACUGUAGGUCUCAGUAAUAAGAAGGACAAACGGUCAGAACUAACACAAAAAAAAAAGGAAUUUAUCGCCAAAAUUGGAACUAAGCAAAGGUUGAUUUAGUUUAGGUUAACGCCCGCCAGGACGGGCAGACAUAAGCGGUUGUCAACAUAACCGCAAUCCAGACCUAACAGUUGCCCACAUGUGACUUUGUAGGAAAAUGAAUGAAUAAAUAAAAGAAAAUUAAUAUUUAAAAAUUGAAAAAAUCUUGUGACUUUGUAAAUAA